This 76-nucleotide transfer RNA is filed under the name Actinomycetaceae bacterium. Its description in RNAcentral is "tRNA-Thr". It matches the Rfam family "tRNA". Rfam says of the family: Transfer RNA (tRNA) molecules are approximately 80 nucleotides in length. Their secondary structure includes four short double-helical elements and three loops (D, anti-codon, and T loops). Further hydrogen bonds mediate the characteristic L-shaped molecular structure. tRNAs have two regions of fundamental functional importance: the anti-codon, which is responsible for specific mRNA codon recognition, and the 3' end, to which the tRNAs corresponding amino acid is attached (by aminoacyl-tRNA synthetases). tRNAs cope with the degeneracy of the genetic code in two manners: having more than one tRNA (with a specific anti-codon) for a particular amino acid; and 'wobble' base-pairing, i.e. permitting non-standard base-pairing at the 3rd anti-codon position. Lineage: Bacteria; Bacillati; Actinomycetota; Actinomycetes; Actinomycetales; Actinomycetaceae. The record is from RNAcentral.
GCCUCCUUAGCUCAGCUGGUAGAGCAACGGUCUUGUAAACCGUAGGUCGCGAGUUCGAGUCUCGCAGGGGGCUCCA